AUGUGGUGCGAACAGAAGAGGAUUGAAGAGCAUGAGGGAGGGGAUUGGAGUGUACCUGAUGGAUCUGUUGGCUAUCCGCCGAGGCCGAGCAGAGGACGACGACACUGGACCAUCCAGAACAGAAUGAAGAGCAUGAGGGAGGGGAUUGGAUUCUGCUGGAUCUGGGUUGUUGUGCGUGGCGUGGUUUGUUGGAUCAUCUCAUCCAAAGUCCAGACAUCAUUCUCAAGUCAGCUCAUGCUGCUGCCUGCGUCAGUGAGGGAGAUGAUAUAUGUUUCAAUACUGUGGAGGGCGUGGACGUUGACCUGCCGGUUUGUGUCUCCGGCUGGGGCUGGACGACCUCAUGGCUAG
Molecule: ribosomal RNA, 348 nt
Filed under: Triticum aestivum (bread wheat)
Lineage: Eukaryota; Viridiplantae; Streptophyta; Magnoliopsida; Poales; Poaceae
Description: partial small subunit ribosomal RNA
Source: RNAcentral